Molecule: non-coding RNA, 1435 nt
Organism: Rattus norvegicus (Norway rat)
Lineage: Eukaryota; Metazoa; Chordata; Mammalia; Rodentia; Muridae
Source: RefSeq, a predicted model, not a curated record
CAAAGGGCUCUCCCAGAAGCCACCUUGAGAAGGGUCCCUCAAGUUAAGGACUAAACCUUCCUGUGGACUAGAAGACACACAACAAUCACAAGUUUUGUUUCUAGUGGUCAGCCGGCAUUGAUCUGGAUGUGUCUCUGUGAUUUGAAUUUAGAAUGCCAAUACAGGGCUCGUGUGUUUGAACAGUUAGUUCCUGCCUGGUGGCACUGCUUUGGAAGAUUGUGGAAACUUUAGUAGGAGACAGAGGGAGUGCUUCACUGAGACCUGCCUUGAGAACUUGUAGACCAGCCCCACUCUAUGGCUUGAUGGUAGACUCAGUGUGGCUGGUCUCCUCACGCCCCUGCUGCCAAGACUUCUCCAUUCAUGGACUAUAUCUCUUUAAACUGUUCUGUAUAAUGAUUCUUGAAUGCACCCCUAUAAAAAAGUAAACACUAUCGCUGAGGAUGGGGAGUUGACUCAUCUAAGCACUGACUGCUCUUCCAGAAGACCAGGGUUCAACUCCCAGCAACCACAUGGCAGCUCAGAACUGUCUGUAACUCCCAGAUUCAAAACCUUCACGCAGGCAAAACAUCAAUGUGCAUAAAAUAAAAUUAAAUGAAAAGAAAAGAAAAGAAAAGAAAAGCGUGAGCCAAAAACUCUUCUGAACCUGGAGUGUUCUGAGUGAAGUAUGGAGACCAUGGAACGGGAGGUAAGUAUUCAGAUUGUUUCCCCAAGGGCAGCUCCCCCAAGGAAGUCAGCCAGACAGAAAGGGAAAGAGAAUGAGGGUCUUUAAGGCAGAGGAAAUGGGUACACUGAGGUCCUUAUGGAGGGCCUAGUUUAAUGGAGCUUGGUCAUAAGGCUUUGUAUGGAGAUGAUGCCCUGCGCUAAGAGUCAACAUGGAAAUUCACUUCUGCAAGACAGAAUCACAGUUGUUGGGGGAAGAAGAGGACAUAAGAGACUGUCGACAGCACAAAGGCUCAUGUUUAGUUGGAAGAGGGAGUAAUAACAUUCCAUCUAACUAGGAGAAAAUAAGUGAAUAGAAUUGGGUCACUUGCUCUCUGGGGGAAAAAAGGUAUACUUGUUUUCUAAUGGGGAUUACAAAUAUUUCUUUAAAAAUACCCCAAGAUUUCUCCAGUUUUUUAUAUUUCCAAGCAUUAAACCAUUAAGCUAAUGUGAAUUUAGGGUGAUGUUUCACAUAUGUCAAAAUGUUUUAACACAGGCCAUUUUAUUGUUCAGAAAAAAGAAAAAUUACUAGUGGCUCCAAACAUUUUCAAUUUCUUUCUCUCUCACAGUGUUUAAAAGACUCAAAGAAUUAGUUCAGAAGGGGUUUCAACAGUAAUUUAAUGUGUGUUGACGAACAUCAGUUUUGUCAUCUGUCUUAGAAGAGAGAAAAAAAGAAAGAUUAUAUGUGUUAGUUAGACUUUUUAUUGCUGUAAUAAAAUACCAUGACCAAAAGCAA